AUUUUUUUGGCUUGUAUAGAGACUAUGGAACCUACCUAUGGACAUACUAGAAGAGAUGGAUGAGUCUCAAUCUACCGACCAAAAGGCUUAAGGUAAUUGUUUGAUCAACUUCACUGUGAUGUGUUUCUAUCUGCUGCUAUGGUUUAUGAAUUCUUAAGGGAAUCAUGCAUAGAUAUCAGUUAGGGGUCCCAACUACUACAUUAUAGGAGCAGUUUAAUGUACCUUGUCAUCAAUCCACGUACAACGUCAACAUAGAUACACAAGCAUAGGCCAGAAAAUAUACACAAAAUACACACAGACCCUUGCCAGUUCCCUGCCAUGGCUUGCCAGGUUGCUGCCAUCAUCAAUUGUCUACCAUUAAUGUGCUCCAGGUUGCCAGGUUGUUGCCAUUACCAAUUGUCCACAAGAUUGCAUAGGGUAGCAUGUCAUAUUUGUUGAAAAAUUGUUUUGUUCACAUCUGAGUUUUGUUUAAAUAUUUUCAUGCUCAUUUUUAAUGAACUAGUAGACACUGCCACACUAGAGUGUAUAUAUCUCAGUUCCCUUUGUCAUGAUUUGUGGCAGUGGAAUGUGGAUAGUGAAAUCAGAUUUCACCUCUUGUAAUUCAAUAUAAAAACUCAUAACAUAAUUGAUUUUUUGUAACUCCAUCAUGUGAUUCUUUUUGGCAGGUUUCAAAAGAGGUUUGGACUUUAUAUCACGAAAGUUUGGUGGCUCGAAGGUUAUAUGCAAGUGUUUUUUUGCAAUUUGAUCAUUGUCGCGCUUGUUGUUUUGAAGGAACUUUGGACUUGUCACGCUUGUUUGUACUUUUAAGAAUUUUUUGUUAUGUAUUUGGAGCAACUUCAAUGUAUUCGGAGAAACUUUAAACUCCAAAUUGAUUAUCUUUUAAUUUUAUCAAUAAAAC
Molecule: long non-coding RNA, 898 nt
Filed under: Aquilegia coerulea
Lineage: Eukaryota; Viridiplantae; Streptophyta; Magnoliopsida; Ranunculales; Ranunculaceae
Description: long non-coding RNA (ACOE_LNC001862)
Source: RNAcentral